This 276-nucleotide long non-coding RNA is filed under the name Panax ginseng (ginseng). Its description in RNAcentral is "long non-coding RNA (PGIN_LNC012891)". Lineage: Eukaryota; Viridiplantae; Streptophyta; Magnoliopsida; Apiales; Araliaceae. The record is from RNAcentral.
CAAGCACGUGAAUGUCCUUGUAACUAGGCAUGCACAAACGGGAGGCCUGCAGCCCGAUCUUGAUCCAGCCUAGACCCAGCUUGGUCAAAUAUAAGCCUGGUCAAAACUUAGGCUGGACAGGUCUGGUCUGGAAGGCUGCAAAAAGGCCUCCAAUUUAUGGACAAAAUCUGACAUGGCCUGGCCCAGCCAAAAGCCCCGCCUAGCAUGGCCUGCAACCUUAGCUCGGCCUGAGCUCGAUCUAGCCCAAUGGGACAGGCCCGGCCUGCUUAAUCAAAG